AAUAGAUACCCGGGUAGUCCACGCCGUAAACGAUGAGUGCUAGGUGUUGGGGGGACCCCCCUCAGUGCCGCAGGUAACCCAAUAAGCACUCCGCCUGGGGAGUACGGUCGCAAGACUGAAACUCAAAGGAAUUGACGGGGGCCCGCACAAGCGGUGGAGCAUGUGGUUUAAUUCGAAGCAACGCGAAGAACCUUACCAGGGCUUGACAUCCCGCUGACCGGUGUAGAGAUACGCCUUUCCCCUUCGGGGGACAGCGGUGACAGGUGGUGCAUGGUUGUCGUCAGCUCGUGUCGUGAGAUGUUGGGUUCAGUCCCGCAACGAGCGCAACCCUUGUUUCUAGUUGCCAGCACUUCGGGUGGGCACUCUAGAGAGACAGCCGGUGAAAGCCGGAGGAAGGUGGGGAUGACGUCAAAUCAUCAUGCCCCUUAUGUCCUGGGCUACACACGUGCUACAAUGGCUGGUACAAAGGGCAGCGAACCCGCGAGGGGGUAGCCGAAUCCCAAAAAACCAGUCUCAGUUCGGAUUGCAGGCUGCAACUCGCCUGC
This 545-nucleotide ribosomal RNA is filed under the name uncultured bacterium. RNAcentral's name for it is "bacterial SSU rRNA". It matches the Rfam family "Bacterial small subunit ribosomal RNA", at positions 777 to 1319 of the family's 1533-position model. The record is from RNAcentral.